RNAcentral lists this long non-coding RNA (1042 nucleotides) under Eucalyptus grandis. RNAcentral's name for it is "long non-coding RNA (EGRA_LNC001008)". The record is from RNAcentral. Lineage: Eukaryota; Viridiplantae; Streptophyta; Magnoliopsida; Myrtales; Myrtaceae.
GAUAUCCAAACGGUCCUCCGAUUAUGGCGGCGUCGUCCAUCGUGACAUCAUACGCAUUGGUGCCAGAUUUCCUGUGAAGGUAUGAGAUGCGUUAAAACCAUGACUUCAAAUUUUGCGAAAGCUGCAGUGCAGUUUCAGGAAGUGUGCGCAUGAAUUCGUGCAAUGAGCAUGUUUGUAUGUGAAGGACUUCCUUACCCCCGCUCCUCGAGUGGCAGCGAGUUGCGGGGCCAGGAACACUCGAGCAAACUUAACUUGCAAUGCAAUAAAAGACGUACAGCAAGAGAUUUAUCUUAUAAACUCUAAUGCUCGAUAAGCAGGAAUGACAUCAUCCAGCCGCGCUGGGGGCAGCAAUGACAUCAUCCAGCCGCGCUGGGGGCAGCAAUGACAUCAUCCAGCCGCGCUGGGGGCAGCAAUGACAUCAUCCAGCGACCGGUGGGGUCGUUCGUAUCGUGAUGCAUGUCACGUCUAUAACCCACACAGCUGAGCUCGGUGGAGAACCAGUUAGGCUCGAGAUUAGGAGAAAAAAUUCUAAUUUAGAAUCCGUUUGUUUGAAGGGAAAGUAUUUCCGAAGAAUUAUUUUCUAACUUCAAUUUACAAAAACGUAUUCAUAGAUUAAAAACAAUACGACUUCUCUUUUUAGUAAGAAAGAAAUCACUUUACCUAAAUCAUUAAAUAAAUGAAAACUAACAAUUUUCUUUAAAAAUAAUUUUCAUGAAAAGUAAUUUUUUUUUAUCAUGAAGUUUUCAGUUAAACAAAUACAUGAACUUUUAUCAAACUAAAUUUUGUUGGAUAUCUUUGCAUUUCUGAAAGGUUGGAUGCUUCAUACUCUCAAUCAUUUCAGGUUAUAUUUUUAGCUACUCCACCUUCAAGGACGAUCAAGUGGUGGUCCUCUAACUCCGAAUUGGUAAUGGGAUUGGUUGUGGCAUUAUUAAUCACCUGGGCAUCCAAAGAGCACCUGCUCACAUGCGUAUGUGAAUGCGCAUGCGCAAGCGUACAAGAGUGUUGUAGAUACUUGUAUAUUCCAACGUGUCUAGUGAUCCAU